CCCGGGCUGGGACGUGUCGCGCCCCUACAGCGUGCAGUCCACCAAGUCCGCCCCCGACGUCAUCGUCACUCACUGACAGCGGUGACACGCCGGGGGCUGGGAGCCGUACCGCAGACGGCACCCCCGGCAGAGGCUGCGGCUGGUGAAGACGCCGCCGCAGCAGCGGGCCACCUCCAAGGCGGUGCAGUGCGACGACGCAGACAUCGACGCGGCCGCGGCAGCCGCCACCACCUGACACGCCAUCAACCGCAGGGGGCGGCCCUCGCCGACCUCCGCGUCCACCCCCGAGCCGCAACGGCCGACAACCUACCCUCGGACGUACGCUCGCCUUCGCCACACGAUCGGAGGACACGUCGCCCGCACAGAUGUGCCACCAGCUACUCCACCAAGUGCUUUUGUUUUCGUGCAACUGUGGACCGAACUCGUCCUGGCUUGUUCGAUUACAUGUUGAGAUUAUUCUGCUUGUAAUUACACACAUUUGAUAAUUGCCAGAAAUCAGACGGGUGUUCACUGAAAGUGACAUUACCAUUCAAACAUUUUGUACCGUUACUUUCACUUGCUGCCCGGAAGAAUACUCGUUCCAGAAAUUUUCGCAAAUAUGAUGUAAAUGGAACACUCACCUCUGCAACUCCCAGAAAAUAUUCAGGAUAUUUCCCGUUCUACUUCCCUUAUUCCAGUUCUGUGGAACGAAUUUAGCAAUAAUUGAAAUCUACCUACUGAAAUUUAGGAUAUGUAUGAUAUUAUCUUUUCUCAGCAUUAUCUCGCAAAUGCGAAGCCUUUAGUAACCAUUGUACAAAACGUCAAUCAGCAUACAAUAAUGCACUACACAUUACUGAUGUGUGGAGAGAAGCAGCACGCAAAUCGUCUCUCGAACCUCGGGAAAGGAACCAAAGUGUGGUCUGACAUCUUUCACCGAGAAGAUGGGUCUUUAUGAACUGUAAAUAAUUAUUGAUCUUAGCUUAUGUAAACGAGAAGAUGUCGAGACCAUCCACCUGAAUUCCGUCAUAGGUCAUAGUUCUGCGCACGUGACAGAAGUAGAUUUUAUUCAGAACCACUGAGGACAUAGACCCGUGAAGUUAAGCUUUCGAGGCAGUGGCUUCACGUUUCGUGCUCCCAGGCUCAAGUAUCUGCGUACCCGACAAUUUUGUGACAUUCUGCCCUGAAAACGUUUACAGGCAUUCAGGUCGACCUUCCAACACUUCUUCGAUAUGACAAAUUUUCAUUUGUCGUGGAAUGGUUACCAGUGAUUAACUCAGUCCAUCUGCGCUCUAUAAAAAGCUUUAACACACUUGGCACACGUUCGCUUCUAUGCGUGGUUCGCUCCUUCUACCACCUUCUGUACUUCCCCUGUCCGGUUAUAUCAGUUUCUAUUCAAGAACAAUGUCCUAAUCAUAUUGUACACAACCUCCAAUUUGUCAAUACUUACGCAGUGUUGUUGUUGUGGUGUUCAGUGUCUCUAUCCUUUGCAAGCCUCUUCAUCUCUGCAUAACUACUGAUAAUAAACUCCACUUGAAACAACUCACUGUACUCAAGUCUUGGUCUCCCUCCAUAAUUGUCUACCGUACCACACUUACUUCCACUAAAAAAAUUCCUCAAUCUUUCAAGGUGCGUCCUGCAGACCGACACCUUCUUUCAGUCGAGUUGUACCACAAAUUAUUUUUUCCCCAGUUCGACUGCAUACCUUCCCAUUAGUUAUUCAAUCUAGUUAUCUAAUUUUGAAUCCUUCCUGUAGCACUACAUUGCAAAACUUCUGUUCUCUUUUUGUCCGGGAUGCUUAACGUCCACGUUUGACUCUCAUUGAAAUAACUUCAGAAGAGACUUCCUGAUCCGUAACAAAUUUCUCUUUUUCAGAAGCAGUUUCCUUGAUAUUGCCAAACUGCACAUUAUGUCCUCUCAGACGCCUCAUGUAGCUUGACUGCAUUCCAUUACACUUGAUUUACUUUUGAUGAUAAUCUUUUCAAGACAGUAUACAUUCCUUUGAACUAAUCCUCCAAGUUAUCUUGCAUCUCUGCAAUAUUAUCGGCAGACCUCAUAGUUUUUGUUUCUUCUCCCUGACCGUCAAUUCCCUUCCCAAACUCCUUCUUGCUCAAUGUACUGAUUGAUAAAAUCGGAGAGAGACUACAACACCGCCGUACUCGAUUCUAAACUACUACUUCCCCUUCAAGUCUUUCGACUCUGUUUUCACGCUUUUGUACAAACAUUGCAUCUUGUUCUGAUUUCGAGCCACUGCAGCGGAACGUGGAAAGAGUUUGUUAGCAAUCACAGCCAAUAAAAGCAAUACAUCAUACCGAUUAUCAAUAAACUCUAUUGGGAAACAAACUGCCUUAAUUCUAGAUACUUAUAAAAAUGUGCUAGAAAAACGAAUCAAACGCAAAAUUUAGAUAUUUUUGGCAAAUAACAGUGCAUAGACUCGUAUAUGGUACCUACCACAUUUCUGCGCUAAGCACAAAUGCAAACAGAUCUUGUCCUCUGUAGUAUUUACUGCGUCUUAUUUCACUCGCUAGUCGACGCAUUCUACGUACACAAGAGGUGUGUCUACGCCUCGCAGUUACACAGAUGAACUGAGGUGCAUGGAGAAUUUCGAUACAUGUCUAUACGAAAAUAUUCACAGCUGUGGCGACUUACGACGGAUGUAGUGACCUCACGUCAUUCACUAGUGCUGCAGCUCUCCACGUGGCCUUCACGCGGCAGGCACCAACGGGAUACAGUGAAAUCCGACGCGAGUUCAGCCCCAGGGGCAACAACAGACUGUGGAGAGAUCGUUGUCUUCCAGUUGGAAGCAUUUUUUAAUUUUUACUUUAUAUCAACUCGCAGGUCAAAGCGACGCCACUUUUGCUGCUGUGGAAAAUAAUUCACAUGUUGUUAUCACGUGUUUUUAUAAUUGACGCAUCGUAUGUUGUUAUACUUCAAAAGAGAAAUGUUAUUCCAAUGUCGAUAUUUAGGAUGUUAGUAAAAACAGAAACACAGAUAUACGACUGUUCUGAGUUUUAAUUAACGAUUAUAAUGAUAAUGAAAUGUUUGAAGAUUGGAAUAAUACAACUGUUUCCUGUUAAA
Molecule: long non-coding RNA, 3054 nt
Organism: Schistocerca nitens (vagrant locust)
Lineage: Eukaryota; Metazoa; Arthropoda; Insecta; Orthoptera; Acrididae
Exons: 2
Source: RefSeq, a predicted model, not a curated record